GAUGAACGCUGGCGGCGUGCCUAAUACAUGCAAGUCGAGCGAACGGACGAGAAGCUUGCUUCUCUGAUGUUAGCGGCGGACGGGUGAGUAACACGUGGAUAACCUACCUAUAAGACUGGGAUAACUUCGGGAAACCGGAGCUAAUACCGGAUAAUAUUUUGAACCGCAUGGUUCAAAAGUGAAAGACGGUCUUGCUGUCACUUAUAGAUGGAUCCGCGCUGCAUUAGCGAGUUGGUAAGGUAACGGCUUACCAAGGCAACGAUGCAUAGCCGACCUGAGAGAGUGAUCGGCCACACUGGAACUGAGACACGGUCCAGACUCCUACGGGAGGCAGCAGUAGGGAAUCUUCCGCAAUGGGCGAAAGCCUGACGGAGCAACGCCGCGUGAGUGAUGAAGGUCUUCGGAUCGUAAAACUCUGUUAUUAGGGAAGAACAUAUGUGUAAGUAACUGUGCACAGCUUGACGGUACCUAAUCAGAAAGCCACGGCUAACUACGUG
RNAcentral lists this ribosomal RNA (497 nucleotides) under uncultured bacterium. RNAcentral's name for it is "partial 16S ribosomal RNA". It matches the Rfam family "Bacterial small subunit ribosomal RNA", at positions 28 to 507 of the family's 1533-position model. The record is from RNAcentral.